RNAcentral lists this ribosomal RNA (484 nucleotides) under uncultured bacterium. RNAcentral's name for it is "partial 16S ribosomal RNA". It matches the Rfam family "Bacterial small subunit ribosomal RNA", at positions 30 to 507 of the family's 1533-position model. The record is from RNAcentral.
AUUGAACGCUGGCGGAAUGCUUUACACAUGCAAGUCGAGCGGCAGCACGGGGGCAACCCUGGUGGCGAGCGGCGAACGGGUGAGUAAUACAUCGGAACAUGCCCAGUCGUGGGGGAUAACACUUCGAAAGAAGUGCUAAUACCGCAUACGUCCUGAGGGAGAAAGCGGGGGAUCGCAAGACCUCGCGCGAUUGGAGUGGCCGAUGUCAGAUUAGCUAGUUGGUGGGGUAAAGGCCUACCAAGGCAACGAUCUGUAGCUGGUCUGAGGGGAUGAUCAGCCACACUGGGACUGAGACACGGCCCAGACUCCUACGGGAGGCAGCAGUGGGGAAUUUUGGACAAUGGGGGCAACCCUGAUCCAGCCAUUCCGCGUGAGUGAAGAAGGCCUUCGGGUUGUAAAGCUCUUUCGGCAGGAACGAAACGGCGAGCUCUAACAUAGCUUGCUAAUGACGGUACCUGAAGAAGAAGCACCGGCUAACUACGUG